GUUAGUAUAAAAACCCAGUAUCUGACAUAGGCAAAUUUCUAUCUUCUAACACACACACACACACACACACACACACACACACAAACUGCUUUUAAGAGAAAGUUGUCACUUGAGCAAAAACUUUCAUCUUUAGCUGAUCCAAUGACGGGAAGCUAUUUGGCAUAGACUUAGUAAAACCUUCACGCAAAACCAGCAGAGGAACUGCCAGAGCUUCCAUAUAGGGUGUAACUUGAGGAGUCAUCCUGAUGCUGGAAGAGCCGUCCAGCUUUCCAGAAGGAGGCCAGUAAAAAGCGGGGAGAGAUACUUCUCAAAUCUCAUCAUCAGGCGGCUGAAGUGUUUGCUGUUGGAGCCCUGAGCCACAAUGAAAAGUGGACUAUCUGGCCAGAGAGACUCUUGGAGAGAGAACGAUGCCGAGUCAGCCCUAGCUGUGACAGUCAGACUCUUGGAGGAGCCCCACAUGGGAGUCAAGAAGCACUCCUUAAGUUCAGCCCCUGUCCAGCCACAAGGUCUACCCACAGAAGCAUAAAAACAAUAAAAUGUUGUUUUAAGCUACAAAGUUUGAGUAAAUGGUGUGUCAAACAGUACUAGAUAACUGAAACAACCAUGAGUGUAUCUGUGUGUGACAUCCACUGAAAUUCUCCAACUUUGCUCUUGUAUUUUUGUUUUUAUUUUUUUAAUUAUAGGAUAUUUAAUAAGUAAGACAGAGUAAAUAAACUUUACUUGUACAUUUUAGCAUAAUUAACAAAGAAUUA
Molecule: long non-coding RNA, 752 nt
Filed under: Equus caballus (horse)
Lineage: Eukaryota; Metazoa; Chordata; Mammalia; Perissodactyla; Equidae
Description: lncRNA (ENSECAG00000029770.2)
Source: RNAcentral